RNAcentral lists this ribosomal RNA (468 nucleotides) under uncultured bacterium. RNAcentral describes it as "bacterial SSU rRNA". It matches the Rfam family "Bacterial small subunit ribosomal RNA", at positions 58 to 521 of the family's 1533-position model. The record is from RNAcentral.
CAAGUCGAACGGCAGCACGGGAGCAAUCCUGGUGGCGAGUGGCGAACGGGUGAGUAAUACAUCGGAACGUGCCCUGUCGUGGGGGAUAACUAGUCGAAAGAUUAGCUAAUACCGCAUACGACCUGAGGGUGAAAGCGGGGGACCGUAAGGCCUCGCGCGAUAGGAGCGGCCGAUGUCUGAUUAGCUAGUUGGUGGGGUAAAGGCCCACCAAGGCGACGAUCAGUAGCUGGUCCGAGAGGACGAUCAGCCACACUGGGACUGAGACACGGCCCAGACUCCUACGGGAGGCAGCAGUGGGGAAUUUUGGACAAUGGGGGCAACCCUGAUCCAGCAAUGCCGCGUGUGUGAAGAAGGCCUUCGGGUUGUAAAGCACUUUUGUCCGGAAAGAAAUCCCUUGCCCUAAUACGGCGGGGGGAUGACGGUACCGGAAGAAUAAGCACCGGCUAACUACGUGCCAGCAGCCGCGGU